UCUAAGUAACCUAAGUUUUAAGGUACUAAACUUUUAAUUUAGUCAUGAUAUAUUUAUCCUUAGGA
RNAcentral lists this transfer RNA (65 nucleotides) under Sypharochiton sinclairi. Its description in RNAcentral is "tRNA-Lys". Lineage: Eukaryota; Metazoa; Mollusca; Polyplacophora; Chitonida; Chitonidae. The record is from RNAcentral.